UGGUCAAAUGCUCCUGAGUUUAAUUCCCAGUACCAAAAAAAAAAAAAAAAAUACACUUGAGAUUUAAUCUCACUUCAGUCAGAAUGGCAAUGAUCUGGAAAAAAUGCAACAAUAAAUAUUGGCAAGGAUGUGGGGAAAAAUAUACACCCCUACAUUGCUGGUGGGACUGAAAAUUGGUGCAAUUACUCUGGAAAUCUGUAUGGAGACUCCUCAAAAAACUAAAUUUGGAACCACCAUUUUUCCCAGUUAUACCACUCUUCAGUAUAUAUUCAAAGCAGUAAAAAUCAUCAUACUCCAGUGAUACUACCACAUCAAUAUUUAUAGAAGCUCAAUUCACAAUAGCUAAAUUAUGGAACCAACCUAGGUGCCCUUCAACAGAUGAAUGCAUAAAGAAAAUAUGCUACAUGUAAAUAAUAGUAUAUUAUUCAGGCAUAAAGAAGAAUGGAAUUAUGACAUUUGCCAGUAAAUGAAUGGAACUGGAGACUAUCAUGAUAAGUGAAAUAAGCCAAUCUCAAAAAACCAAAGAGAGAAAGUUCUCUCUGAUAUGUAGAUGCUAACCCAUAUUAAGCAGGGGAGGGAAGAAUAGAAUUUCACUGGAUUAGACAAAGGGGAAUGAAGGGAAGGGAUGAGGGAUGGGAAUAAGAAAGACAGUAGAAUGAAUCAGACAUAACUUUCCUAUGUUCUUAUUUGCCACCAAAACAUACAUGAGAACCAAUGGUACAGAAUAGAAGGAUAACUCCACAUUAUGUACAAUCAAAAAAACCAGGAAGCUAUGUUCCAUGUAUAUAUGAUAUGUCAAAAUAUAUUCUACUGUCAUGUGUAACUAAAAAAUAAAAAUAAUUAAAAAUAAUUAAGUGAGAAAAAAUAUAAAAGAGAUAUAAAUUAAGGAAUAUUCAGUUUGGAAGUUACCUGCAUAGAUAUUAAUAAAAUUAUAAGAGUUUGGAACAUUCAAAUUAUUUUAGAAAAGAAUGAAUAAAAUCCUAAAUAUUAUGUUAUUCUUGAUGUGAUUAUAAAUGAAAUUGUCAUUGCUGGUAUAUAGAAAGAGAACUGAUUUUUGUGUGUGUUACUUACAAUUUUGCCAAAUUUUUAUUUGUUAUUUUUUUAAUCUGGUGUGUGUGUGUGUGUGUGUGUGUGUGUGUGUGUAAAUGUGUGUCUGUCCAGAUUUGUUGAGAUUUUUUACCCUUAACAUUAAUUCAUUCGUAAAUUUUCUUCUUCCUUUUGAAGUUUAGAAUCUUUUCUUUCUUUUUCCUCUACUGUUUCUCUUUCUUUUGCUAAUUUUUCUGGAUAGAACUUAAAAUACUGUAAUGAAUAGAAGAGGAGGCAGAAGUGUGCACCCUUAACUUGCUCCUUCAGUACACACAAGUGAUUUUUCUGUUUCCUGAAUGUCCUGGUAUGUCUUGAUUUGAGAGUAGGCCCUUUCUGGGUUCCUACUCAAUUUCCUGUUUUGUGUACCUCUCAUUUUGCUUAUGCUCUUUUUCUGCUUCAUAUGCUAGUUACAAUCAUGUUGAAUGAUCUCUUCCCCUUUUUCUUUUCUCUUCCCACACUUCCACUGAUUCUUUCUGUUUUUCCAAUUAAGAAACACCAAAAUUAGUUCUAUGUGUUAUCCUCUCUGCACAGAAUUAAAAUAGGUCAUUAGUAUUCUAUUUGGAGGAGUCAGAAACAAGAUAUUGUAGUUUCAAACUCCUUUCUUAAUUCAGAUUAUUGUUCAAACUGAGGAGAGGAUUGAAAUAAAGUGUCAUUUCAGCAACUUUAGAUAUCUAAAUAUUACUUGUUCUGAAGAUACACUUAGAAAAUCCAUCUUAAUAGAAAUGCUCUUUCUGAAGCUUUUCCACAGAUGACCACAUUUUUAAGAUCAAGAAGAAAAAAAAAAUUCUACAUUCCAUGUCCAAAUGUUAACAUUAAGACAGGUCUCCUUGAUCUGAAUCUCAGGGUGAUGCUGAGAAGAAUCACUCCAGGAUACUUCAGUGCAGUAUAAAAUUUAUGGACCACUGGUAGAUAUGCAGUCCACAAAAUGAAAUGGUUUCUUAAGUUCUUUUAAACAAUUUAUAUGCAAUAUUUUUAAUAAUAAAGGUUUUGACAUUUGUUCAAUAUUUUCAGCAAUACACUCAAUCUUCU
This 2115-nucleotide long non-coding RNA is filed under the name Marmota monax (woodchuck). The record is from RNAcentral. Lineage: Eukaryota; Metazoa; Chordata; Mammalia; Rodentia; Sciuridae.